GGAUGAAGAACGUAGCGAAAUGCGAUACGUAAUGUGAAUUGCAGAAUUCAGUGAAUCAUCGAAUCUUUGAACGCAUAUUGCGCUCUUUGGUAUUCCGAAGAGCAUGCUUGUUUGAGUAUCAGUAAACACCUCAACCUCUUCUUGAUUUUUCAAAAGGAGGGUGGACUUGAGCUAUCCCAACAACCUUUACCGGUCGGCGGGCGGCUUGAAAUGCAGGUGCAGCUGGACUUUUAUCUGAGCUAAAAGCAUAUCUAUUUAGUCCUCGUCAAACAGGAUUAUUACUUUUGCUGCAGCUAACAUAAAGGAUAAUUGUCCUCUUUGCUGACUGAUGCAGGAUUUUACGACACUUUAUGUGUUGUUCAACUCGAUCUCAAAUCAAGUAAGACUACCCGCUGAACUUAAGCAUAUCAAUAAGCGGAGGA
This 422-nucleotide unclassified non-coding RNA is filed under the name soil metagenome. RNAcentral describes it as "partial contains 5.8S ribosomal RNA, internal transcribed spacer 2, and large subunit ribosomal RNA". The stretch from base 2 to 121 matches the Rfam family "5.8S ribosomal RNA", at positions 35 to 154 of the family's 154-position model. The record is from RNAcentral.